RNAcentral lists this unclassified non-coding RNA (454 nucleotides) under Hevea brasiliensis (rubber tree). The record is from RNAcentral. Lineage: Eukaryota; Viridiplantae; Streptophyta; Magnoliopsida; Malpighiales; Euphorbiaceae.
UGGAUUACAUGGUGUGGGCUUGUCAGUUGUUAAUGCAUUGUCAGAGGCCCUAGAAGUUACCAUAUGGCGUGAUGGUAAAGAAUAUCAACAGAAAUAUUCACGGGGGAAGCCAGUAACAACUUUGAUAUGUCAGGAGCUCCCGGUGGAAAUUAAAGAUUGGCAAGGGACUUCCAUUCGGUUUUGGCCUGAUAAAGAAGUAUUCACAACUGAAAUACAAUUUGACUAUAAUACCAUAGCUGGGAGAAUUAGGGAGCUUGCUUUCCUCAAUCCCGAGCUCACUAUUGUUCUCAAGAAGGACGACAUAGAUCCGGAAAAGAUCCAACAUGCUGAGUACUUUUAUGCUGGAGGAUUGGUUGAAUAUGUGAAAUGGCUGAAUGCAGACAAAAAACCACUUCAUGAUGUGCUGGGAUUCAGAAAAGAAGCAGAUGGAAUCACAAUUGAUAUGGCUCUUCAA